This is a long non-coding RNA of Myotis davidii, 271 nucleotides long. RefSeq lists it as uncharacterized. The record is from RefSeq and is a predicted model, not a curated record. Lineage: Eukaryota; Metazoa; Chordata; Mammalia; Chiroptera; Vespertilionidae. The transcript has 2 exons.
CUAACCAGCCAUCUUCCAGGCCAAGGAGGGUGAUGUGAGGUUCAGUUCUGUCUCCUUGGUAGCCUAUGCCCCCGUGGCCUCCACGCCCAGCAGCUGCCUUGGGCUCCCCUCGCCUGCAAAUGGACUGUAAGAAGAGGGUCCCUCUUGACACAAGGGCAAGAGGGGCCAGUACAGGACAAGGGAGGACAGUAGGGUAGGGAGAUUCUAGAAAAGGCUGUGUUCAGGAGAGAAGGAGAAAGGCCAAAGAACCAGCAAACAAGUAGUCAGAUUU